ACAUAAUCCCCUUUGCCAAAAAACCUUAAAACAGAAUAGUUUCCUUUCACUUUGCAGGAUUUCAAUGCAAUUCUAUCAAGUCGGGAAGGCAAAUAACUACUUAAUCCCCCAGCAAAAAGAGCUCCAUCACCUGCAAAAUCUCAACUUUUCUUUUUCAUCUAGGAAUAUGAGUGCUAUAAAAGAGGUUACUGCUGCCAUGAAAAUAGUUGUGGUUACACAUUAUUAAAGAUGAAUACUAAAGAAGUGACUAAAUAAAAAGGCAAGAUAUCGAGGAUGAUUGAUGUCAUCCCAGCAAGGAAGCAGAUGAGGAAAGGCAGAAGAUAAAGUUUUUUUUAUGUCUCUGCUACUAUGUGCUCCUCACCUACACAUGCUGGAAUAAAC
RNAcentral lists this long non-coding RNA (381 nucleotides) under Rhinopithecus bieti (black snub-nosed monkey). RNAcentral describes it as "lncRNA (ENSRBIG00000045101.1)". Lineage: Eukaryota; Metazoa; Chordata; Mammalia; Primates; Cercopithecidae. The record is from RNAcentral.